UACGUAGGGGACAAGCGUUGUCCGGAUUUAUUGGGCGUAAAGAGCGUGUAGGCGGCCAGAUAGGUCGGUUGUGAAAACUGGAGGCUUAACCUCCAGCCGUCGACCGAAACCAUCUGGCUAGAGUCCGGAAGAGGAGAGUGGAAUUCCUGGUGUAGCGGUGAAAUGCGCAGAUAUCAGGAAGAACACCCGUGGCGAAAGCGGCUCUCUGGAACGGUACUGACGCUGAGACGCGAAAGCGUGGGGAGCGAACAGG
This 253-nucleotide ribosomal RNA is filed under the name uncultured bacterium. Its description in RNAcentral is "partial 16S ribosomal RNA". It matches the Rfam family "Bacterial small subunit ribosomal RNA", at positions 524 to 776 of the family's 1533-position model. The record is from RNAcentral.